UACUAAUGGUGCUCGCGUUGUUCGGAUUUACUGGGCGUAAAGCGCACGUAGGCGGAUAUUUAAGUCAGAGGUGAAAUCCCAGGGCUCAACCCUGGAACUGCCUUUGAUACUGGAUAUCUUGAGUAUGGAAGAGGUGAGUGGAAUUCCGAGUGUAGAGGUAAAAUUCGUAGAUAUUCGGAGGAACACCAGUGGCGAAGGCGGCUCACUGGUCCAUUACUGACGCUGAGGUGCGAAAGCGUGGGGAGCAAACA
This 251-nucleotide ribosomal RNA is filed under the name uncultured Bartonella sp. RNAcentral describes it as "partial 16S ribosomal RNA". It matches the Rfam family "Bacterial small subunit ribosomal RNA", at positions 524 to 774 of the family's 1533-position model. The record is from RNAcentral. Lineage: Bacteria; Pseudomonadati; Pseudomonadota; Alphaproteobacteria; Hyphomicrobiales; Bartonellaceae.